GGGAGCUAAUACCGGAUAAUAUUUUGAACCGCAUGGUUCAAAAGUGAAAGACGGUCUUGCUGUCACUUAUAGAUGGAUCCGCGCUGCAUUAGCUAGUUGGUAAGGUAACGGCUUACCAAGGCAACGAUGCAUAGCCGACCUGAGAGGGUGAUCGGCCACACUGGAACUGAGACACGGUCCAG
RNAcentral lists this ribosomal RNA (182 nucleotides) under uncultured Staphylococcus sp. Its description in RNAcentral is "partial 16S ribosomal RNA". It matches the Rfam family "Bacterial small subunit ribosomal RNA", at positions 158 to 334 of the family's 1533-position model. The record is from RNAcentral. Lineage: Bacteria; Bacillati; Bacillota; Bacilli; Caryophanales; Staphylococcaceae.